RNAcentral lists this ribosomal RNA (270 nucleotides) under Bacillus cereus. RNAcentral describes it as "partial 16S ribosomal RNA". It matches the Rfam family "Bacterial small subunit ribosomal RNA", at positions 1 to 258 of the family's 1533-position model. The record is from RNAcentral. RNAcentral also lists the same sequence under 3 other names. Lineage: Bacteria; Bacillati; Bacillota; Bacilli; Caryophanales; Bacillaceae.
UUUAUUGGAGAGUUUGAUCCUGGCUCAGGAUGAACGCUGGCGGCGUGCCUAAUACAUGCAAGUCGAGCGAAUGGAUUAAGAGCUUGCUCUUAUGAAGUUAGCGGCGGACGGGUGAGUAACACGUGGGUAACCUGCCCAUAAGACUGGGAUAACUCCGGGAAACCGGGGCUAAUACCGGAUAACAUUUUGAACCGCAUGGUUCGAAAUUGAAAGGCGGCUUCGGCUGUCACUUAUGGAUGGACCCGCGUCGCAUUAGCUAGUUGGUGAGGU